This 182-nucleotide non-coding RNA is filed under the name Candidatus Latescibacterota bacterium. RNAcentral's name for it is "Candidatus Latescibacteria bacterium 6S RNA". It matches the Rfam family "6S / SsrS RNA". Rfam says of the family: E. coli 6S RNA was the first non coding RNA to be sequenced, but its function was unknown until recently. Lineage: Bacteria; Pseudomonadati; Candidatus Latescibacterota. The record is from RNAcentral.
AAUUCCCUACCAUGUACGUGAUGCAAAGGUAACUAUUGAGCCAACAACUCUACGUGGGAGGCCUAAAUCUGACUUGCGAUGUCACGCCCUUUUAGUAGGGAAGACUGAACGGGUCAUGAGGGUUUCCACUUGAACCUUCGGGUUCAAAAGUUCCCUUACACACGGCAUAGCGUGGGGAAUUU